This 107-nucleotide non-coding RNA is filed under the name Bacillus sp. (in: firmicutes). RNAcentral's name for it is "Bacillus sp. SAM-I sequence". It matches the Rfam family "SAM riboswitch aptamer (S box leader)". From Rfam's summary of the family: The SAM riboswitch is found upstream of a number of genes which code for proteins involved in methionine or cysteine biosynthesis in Gram-positive bacteria. The SAM riboswitch acts at the level of transcription termination control. Lineage: Bacteria; Bacillati; Bacillota; Bacilli; Caryophanales; Bacillaceae. The record is from RNAcentral.
UUCUUAUCCAGAGAAGCGGAGGGACUGGCCUGAUGAUGCUUCGGCAGCGGACUUUUUUUAAAAGUACUGUGCCAAUUCCAGCAGGCGAGAAGCCUGGGAGAUAAGAA